UUUUAAACAGAUCUUCCUGUUUUAAAAUAAUUAUCCUUUACUUGCUGAAGUCUAAUUCACAUGUAGCCAAACCCAUGGUUUGGCUUGAUUUUUAUAUUGAAAGGCAAAAGGCAAUUUUCAAUAGUUCAGUGUGUAUUCAUCUGUUUACCUGGGGCUUAGGGAUCAUGUAAGACAUGAGACAUAGUCACCACCGUAUUUUGUAUCGUUGUUGACUUUUUUUUUCUUUGCUUUGUCCUGCUUUGGAUGCACAGAGGCUUAUGACAAGAAUAUGUCUAAGUCAAUAUGCUGAAUAUUGGCCUUUAACUUGUGCCAGCUUUUUGUCUGUCUUCCUGACUUUCAGUUACACUGACUGUACAGUUUGGACUUGCAUUCUCAUAAUUGAUUUGAGGAUGAAAUUAAUUUUUAUGAAACCUUUGGCGUGAGUAUUGCCAUCCUAAACUAGAUGCAUUUUACUGAUCACAAUUUGUCAUCUAACACACUCUUUGUGUUUUAAGUGAGGUACAUUUUAUUUUUUCCAUCAUAAAUGGCCAUGAUAUAAAUUGUAUUCUACUUUGGAGAGAAUGAUUGAAGCUAUCUCCAUACAUAAAGCACUUUGGCUGAAAGGUGCUGUAUUCCUGAAAUAGUUUUUCAUUAUUUAUUGACUCACUACCCUAUAAUAAUUUUUCUGAAGCAGUUUUGAUCUGUUUUAUAAAUAUUGUGUUUUCAUUUUGAAAGUAUUUAGCAUGCUGGAAAACUUUCCACUUAAAAAAUUAUCAUAAUGGUCCUUCAAAAAGGGUUUUGUUUAAGUAGCCGGUAGUGAAACCUAUUCUCUGGACUCAGGCAAACAUUUGAGAACAAGUCAUAGCUGUGAGCAUUGUCAAAAUGGUUAAUAACGCCAACAUCUUAUACGCUAAGGGAAAUGAGUGGUGACAAAUUUGGGAGAAAAAAAGACAAGAGCAUUAUCAUUCUGAAAUGUAACCUUUUGCUUUAAAAUGUCAAGGAUAGGAUGUCAAAAACAGCUUUUUACAUCAUCAGGAAGAGUAAGUUCAUUUAAAAAUCCUGUUAAUGCUAGCUAAGUACAUGAAGUUCAAUAAAUCUCUGCUGAAUAUAUCGGCUUAUGAACAAUUUAGUUUGUGAUAUCUUAAGCCAGUCCUAGAACAGUAUUUUGCACAUAAUAGGCACUACUAAAUAUUUGUGUUAUGAUUGAAGGAAUUAAAAAACUAAUCAUCUACCCCAUAGUCACCAUUUUCAGGGUUGAACUUCCUGGAUCAUGUGUAAGUCCUUGAGGCCUUGGUUCUGACCUUCAAUCCUCAUCUGGUUCAGAGCCCUGCUAGCUGCGAAGCAUACACAUUUUAAGAAGGUGGAGAUUUUAAGAACAGUUCAGACUUGGCUAUUCAGCUUGUUCCUGCCAUUCAGAACAUAGCACACAAGAAAAGGUGUCUGUCUUUCCUGUAUAAUGGGCAGAUUUUGAAUCCUGGGCCCAGAAGGAUUGUCUGAAUUAUAAGGAAUGUCCUUUUGUGCUUUAGCAACUUGAAGCUUCAAUGGAAAGAAUCAGAACAGAAGCUUCAGUGGAAAGAAUCAGAAUACAGAGAAAACUUGGUGCUAGGACAAAAAUGAAGGAAAGAAUCAGCCCAAGAUGGUGAUACCAGGGUUACAGAGAGGCUGAAAUUUCAACCAUCAUUCUGUUAGAACUGCUUAGUAAUGCUUGGGUUGAAUUGGCUACAUUGGAAGCUUAGCUCAAUGCCUAUGUGCUGGUGUGAAAUGUGUUGCUUCUGUGAUAUGCCUGGUAUCUGCCAGCUAAAAGAACAGAAGACCUUCAGGGAACUAGAGAUUCUGAGAGCAAGGUGAGAGGAUUAUGCAUGAAGACACUGGGCUGUCAUCCAUGCUGCGGGUGGGUGAGAAUUCUCUCCACAUUAUUAUAAAAUAUAGCAACGGUAAAUAUAGAACAAGUUGUCAUCUUACAAAAUAAGUUUUUGCUACAAAUUUUCCCCCAAGUUUUUUGCUAUUUGGAGGCCUUGCAUGACUUGCUUCUCUUAUAGCUGCUUUGGGCCCUAGAGUCUACAUUUCAUCCUCAGUGUCAUGGUCUCUGCCACUUAGAGGCAGUUCAUUUUCACAAUUUAAUGACGUGUCUGUCAAAAGUAAUGAACUAAAUUGUUCAGCAGUUAAUUUAUAUUAAUUUUGAGAAAUGCAUUUCAGUUUUUGAUUAUGUUAAUAAGACUUUUACUUUGAGGGUAGAAUAUACUAGCAAAUGAAGAAGAUGUUACAAUCUUUAGCCAAAAAGAAACCAUAUAUUUUGCAAAGGAACAGAAAGGAUUUUGAAAGAGCCCCAGCAUCUAAAAAUCUUUUUAGUUGAAAUUAUCUUAAAUGUGGCCUAUAGUUUAAUGGGCAUUAUAUGGCAACAUUGCUCCCAGAUAAUGGCCAUUCCUAAAUAUCAUGACAUUAAAGCAUAGAAUAAAGAAUGUUCUAUGACAACUUUACAAUGUAUUGCAUACACAAAUUGAGGUAAUGAUAGUUGGGUGUUUUGUGCUAAUGGACUCAUUAUAUUGAUCCAUGGUAAGACACAGAUGCCAGCUCUCGCUUUGCUCAGUAUUAUAAACUACAACUGUAAUUGUUAACGAAAGAAUAUAUGGAAAGAGAAAGUUGGUGAGAACCUUGUUUACUUCCUAUGUCAAUAUUUUCAUUCCAAUAUACUCAACUGUGUCACAAAAAUUCAACACCAGAAUAGGUGUGUUGUUGUGAUUUUAAAUAUGAGUUACUCAGAGUUCAAAUUCAGGCUUGACUUGUAAACUUUCAGACCCUCAAUUUCCUCACUGACACAAAUUAAGAUUACAGUGUCCACCUUUCUGUUCCUAUCUUUCUGCAUUACUGUUAGAAAAACAUAUUUACAUGACUUUGAAAUGACAUCAGCAAGGAACAAAGUGGCAGAGUAGGAAGUAGCAGUAUCCAUCCCCCCAACCCCUCAAAAAAAAAAAAAAAAAAAAAAAAA
Chlorocebus sabaeus (green monkey) is the source of this 2965-nucleotide non-coding RNA. Lineage: Eukaryota; Metazoa; Chordata; Mammalia; Primates; Cercopithecidae. The record is from RefSeq and is a predicted model, not a curated record.